GAAAAUUGUCGGCUCUUAUAAAGCUGAAUGUUGCCAAUAAAUUCUUUAGUUCAUUUCUCAAGAUAGCUCAUCAACAAUCAUGAGAGUUCGGACCGUUCUAUUCAUUUCACUAGUUCUUUGCUCUCUAAUGAGCCUAAGUGCAUCGAGAUCGGUUGUGGAACAUGACCAGACCAUGAACAUACCGGUACUCGUGGACCAUGAACAUGAAAAUACUCGAGAGCAUAGGUGUGAUAACAGACAUGGUGUUUGGUGGGGUUUUUUUGUACGGUAGAAACAGACAGUAGCGUAGCGCAUCAUAUGUUUUGAAACAUUAAAAGAUAGCCUACUCAAUAAAUUGUCAACUUAUUAUUCUCA
Nilaparvata lugens (brown planthopper) is the source of this 354-nucleotide long non-coding RNA. RefSeq lists it as uncharacterized. The record is from RefSeq and is a predicted model, not a curated record. The transcript has 2 exons. Lineage: Eukaryota; Metazoa; Arthropoda; Insecta; Hemiptera; Delphacidae.